Biomphalaria glabrata is the source of this 385-nucleotide long non-coding RNA. RefSeq lists it as uncharacterized. NCBI's taxonomy places the organism in Eukaryota, Metazoa, Mollusca, Gastropoda, Planorbidae. The transcript is spliced from 5 exons. The record is from RefSeq and is a predicted model, not a curated record.
CCUGUCUGCUAGAGUCAGUGUAUCGGGAGUUUCUGUUCAGAAACAAUUUCUCUGUGGCUUUUUUUUUUGGUCACAGGGGCCAAUUAGAGUCGUACUGAAGGCGGAACCUCCACAAGUUGGUAGAAAUGCACCGGCUUCCAGAUUCGUUUCAAGUGAGGCAUAUGCGUGGAUCAUUGGUUUUUCAUACCAAAAGUACCGAGUUUGAUUCUCGGUUAGCUUAACAAAAUGUCUUCACUCUACCCAAUUAGAGGCGAUCCUUAGCAGAAAUCAAGACACAGUUAAUACAUUGGUCAAAAGCCCAAAGUAAGUGAAUAAAUGAAGCAUCUAGCUUCGAUCUAGUAGAAGAGUUUUCAUCUGUACAAGUCAAUGUCUCAAGAGUUUCUUU